GACGAACGCUGGCGGCGUGCCUAAUACAUGCAAGUCGAGCGAAGUUUUUCUGGUGCUUGCACUUGAAAAACUUAGCGGCGAACGGGUGAGUAACACGUAAAGAACCUGCCUCAUAGACUGGGACAACUAUUGGAAACGAUAGCUAAUACCGGAUAACAGUAUUUCUCGCAUGAGAGAUAUUUAAAAGUUGGUUAUGCUAACACUAUGAGAUGGCUUUGCGGUGCAUUAGCUAGUUGGUGGGGUAAAGGCCCACCAAGGCGACGAUGCAUAGCCGACCUGAGAGGGUGAUCGGCCACACUGGGACUGAGACACGGCCCAGACUCCUACGGGAGGCAGCAGUAGGGAAUCUUCCGCAAUGGGCGAAAGCCUGACGGAGCAACGCCGCGUGAGUGAAGAAGGAUUUCGGUUCGUAAAGCUCUGUUGUUAGGGAAGAAUGGAUAUGUAGUAACUAUACAUGUAAGAGACGGUACCUAACCAGAAAGCCACGGCUAACUACGUG
Molecule: ribosomal RNA, 499 nt
Filed under: uncultured bacterium
Lineage: Bacteria
Description: partial 16S ribosomal RNA
Rfam family: Bacterial small subunit ribosomal RNA
Source: RNAcentral